AUGUUCUUAGCUCAGCGGAUUAGAGCAAUAGCCUUCUAAGCUAGAUGUCACAGGUUCAAAUCCUGUAGAACAUA
This 74-nucleotide transfer RNA is filed under the name Entransia fimbriata. RNAcentral's name for it is "tRNA-Arg". It matches the Rfam family "tRNA". From Rfam's summary of the family: Transfer RNA (tRNA) molecules are approximately 80 nucleotides in length. Their secondary structure includes four short double-helical elements and three loops (D, anti-codon, and T loops). Further hydrogen bonds mediate the characteristic L-shaped molecular structure. tRNAs have two regions of fundamental functional importance: the anti-codon, which is responsible for specific mRNA codon recognition, and the 3' end, to which the tRNAs corresponding amino acid is attached (by aminoacyl-tRNA synthetases). tRNAs cope with the degeneracy of the genetic code in two manners: having more than one tRNA (with a specific anti-codon) for a particular amino acid; and 'wobble' base-pairing, i.e. permitting non-standard base-pairing at the 3rd anti-codon position. Lineage: Eukaryota; Viridiplantae; Streptophyta; Klebsormidiophyceae; Entransiales; Entransiaceae. The record is from RNAcentral.